AACGCACGAGACCUGCGGACCUGCGGAGGGAUCAUUAUCGAGGCAUCCCGCUUUCUACCAGCGGACCUCCUAUCUCCUGACGUUAGUACCGUUGUUGCUUUGGCAGAUACAGGUGGUCUCAUAUCGCCCGUCCUGCCAGAGGUUCCCUAACUCUUAGUAUUGUGUCGUCCGAUUAACUAUAUAAUUCUUAAAAAACUUUCAGCAACGGAUCUCU
Molecule: unclassified non-coding RNA, 214 nt
Filed under: soil metagenome
Description: partial contains 5.8S ribosomal RNA, internal transcribed spacer 2, and large subunit ribosomal RNA
Source: RNAcentral